RNAcentral lists this ribosomal RNA (392 nucleotides) under uncultured bacterium. RNAcentral's name for it is "partial 16S ribosomal RNA". It matches the Rfam family "Bacterial small subunit ribosomal RNA", at positions 523 to 918 of the family's 1533-position model. The record is from RNAcentral.
ACACGUAGGGGCCUGACGUUGUUCGGAAUCAUUGGGCGUAAAGGGCGCGCAGGCGGCCGUCCAAGUCCGGUGUUAAAUGGUCGGGCUCAACCCGAUCAUGCGCUGGAAACUGGGCGGCUUGAGUCCCGUAGGGGAUGCCGGAAUUCCAGGUGUAGGGGUGAAAUCUGUAGAUAUCUGGAAGAACUCCGAUGGCGAAGGCAGGCAUCUGGCCGGAGACUGACGCUGAGGCGCGAAGGCGCGGGGAGCGAACAGGUUUAGAUACCCUGGUAGUCCGCGCAGUAAACGAUGCGCACCAGGUGUCGGGCGGCAGCGCCCGGUACCGGAGCUAACGCGAUGAGUGCGCCGCCUGGGGAGUAUGCCCGCAAGGGUGAAACUCAAAGGAAUUGACGGGG